AUACCAGCUGGCUGCAACUGUUUAUUAAAAACACAGCACUGUGCAAACACGAAAGUGGACGUAUACGGUGUGACGCCUGCCCGGUGCCGGAAGGUUAAUUGAUGGGGUUAUCCGUAAGGAGAAGCUCUUGAUCGAAGCCCCGGUAAACGGCGGCCGUAACUAUAACGGUCCUAAGGUAGCGAAAUUCCUUGUCGGGUAAGUUCCGACCUGCACGAAUGGCGUAAUGAUGGCCAGGCUGUCUCCACCCGAGACUCAGUGAAAUUGAACUCGCUGUGAAGAUGCAGUGUACCCGCGGCAAGACGGAAAGACCCCGUGAACCUUUACUAUAGCUUGACACUGAACACUGGUCCUUGAUGUGUAGGAUAGGUGGGAGGCUUUGAAGUGUGGACGCCAGUCUGCAUGGAGCCAUCCUUGAAAUACCACCCUUUAAUGGCUGGUGUUCUAACGUGGACCCGUUACCCGGGUUGCGGACAGUGUCUGGUGGGUAGUUUGACUGGGGCGGUCUCCUCCUAAAGAGUAACGGAGGAGCACGAAGGUUAGCUAAUCCUGGUCGGACAUCAGGAGGUUAGUGCAAAGGCAUAAGCUAGCUUGACUGCGAGAGUGACGGCUCGAGCAGGUGCGAAAGCAGGUCUUAGUGAUCCGGUGGUUCUGAAUGGAAGGGCCAUCGCUCAACGGAUAAAAGGUACUCCGGGGAUAACAGGCUGAUACCGCCCAAGAGUUCAUAUCGACGGCGGUGUUUGGCACCUCGAUGUCGGCUCAUCACAUCCUGGGGCUGAAGUAGGUCCCAAGGGUAUGGCUGUUCGCCAUUUAAAGUGGUACGCGAGCUGGGUUUAGAACGUCGUGAGACAGUUCGGUCCCUAUCUGCCGUGGGCGCUGGAGAAUUGAGGGGGGCUGCUCCUAGUACGAGAGGACCGGAGUGGACGCAUCACUGGUGUUCGGGUUGUCAUGCCAAUGGCAUUGCCCGGUAGCUAAAUGCGGAAGAGAUAAGUGCUGAAAGCAUCUAAGCACGAAACUUGCCCCGAGAUGAGUUCUCCCUGAGACUAUAAGUCUCCUGAAGGAACGUUAAAGACGAUGACG
RNAcentral lists this ribosomal RNA (1077 nucleotides) under Citrobacter freundii. Its description in RNAcentral is "partial 23S ribosomal RNA". It matches the Rfam family "Bacterial large subunit ribosomal RNA", at positions 1783 to 2852 of the family's 2925-position model. The record is from RNAcentral. Lineage: Bacteria; Pseudomonadati; Pseudomonadota; Gammaproteobacteria; Enterobacterales; Enterobacteriaceae.